GACAGCUUGGCCGAGUGGUUAAGGCGACAGACUUGAAAUCUGUUGGGGUAACCCGCGUGAGUUCAAACCUCACAGCUGUCG
Non-coding RNA from Aphanomyces invadans, 81 nucleotides. NCBI's taxonomy places the organism in Eukaryota, Oomycota, Saprolegniomycetes, Saprolegniales, Verrucalvaceae. The record is from Rfam.